GGAAUAUUGGACAAUGGGCGAAAGCCUGAUCCAGCGACGCCGCGUGAAGGAAGAAGGUCUUCGGAUUGUAAACUUUAGUGAGCAGGGACGAUAAUGACGGUACCUGCAUAGCAAGCCACGGCUAACUACGUGCCAGCAGCCGCGGUAAUACGUAGGUGGCAAGCGUUAUCCGGAAUUACUGGGUGUAAAGGGUGAGUAGGCGGGAAGGCAAGUCAGAUGUGAAAUGCAGGGGCCCAACCCCUGAACUGCAUUUGAAACUGUUUUUCUUGAGAGUCGGAGGGGUAAUCGGAAUUCCCAGUGUAGCGGUGAAAUGCGCAGAGAUUGGGAGGAACACCAGUGGCGAAGGCGGAUUACUGGACGACAACUGACGCUGAUACACGAAAGCGUGGGGAGCAAACA
This 399-nucleotide ribosomal RNA is filed under the name uncultured bacterium. RNAcentral's name for it is "bacterial SSU rRNA". It matches the Rfam family "Bacterial small subunit ribosomal RNA", at positions 358 to 774 of the family's 1533-position model. The record is from RNAcentral.